CCUACGGGAGGCAGCAGUGAGGAAUAUUGGUCAAUGGACGAGAGUCUGAACCAGCCAAGUAGCGUGAAGGAUGACUGCCCUAUGGGUUGUAAACUUCUUUUAUAUGGGAAUAAAGUGUUCCACGUGUGGGAUUUUGUAUGUACCAUAUGAAUAAGGAUCGGCUAACGCAGUGCCAGCAGCCGCGGUAAUACGGAGGAUCCGAGCGUUAUCCGGAUUUAUUGGGUUUAAAGGGAGCGUAGGUGGAUUGUUAAGUCAGUUGUGAAAGUUUGCGGCUCAAACGUAAAAUUGCAGUUGAAACUGGCAGUCUUGAGUACAGUAGAGGUGAGCGGAAUUCGUGGUGUAGCGGUGAAAUGCUUAGAUAUCACGAAGAACUCCGAUUGCGAAGGCAGUUCACUGGACUGCAACUGACACUGAGGCUCGAAAGUGUGGGUAUCAAACAGGAUUAGAUACCCGGGUAGUC
Molecule: ribosomal RNA, 460 nt
Filed under: uncultured bacterium
Lineage: Bacteria
Description: partial 16S ribosomal RNA
Rfam family: Bacterial small subunit ribosomal RNA
Source: RNAcentral